Molecule: long non-coding RNA, 793 nt
Filed under: Pan troglodytes (chimpanzee)
Lineage: Eukaryota; Metazoa; Chordata; Mammalia; Primates; Hominidae
Description: lincRNA
Source: RNAcentral
CUGUAAUGUGCACAGUUAAAACAACUUGUCCUCCCAGGACCUUUUGCAGUUAGGGUUGGUCGUGUGACAUGGUCCUGCGAAGAAGAUACGGAUAGAAGUCUGUGGGCCACCAGUGGAUUGAAUGAUGCCCAUAUGCACUGAGAAGGGCCAUGUGUUUACUCGGUCUACCAAUUCAAAUGUUAAUCUCAUCCAAAAACACCCUCACAGAUACGUUUGGAAUGAUGUUUAACCAAAUAUUUGGGUACCGUCUUCCCCAGUGAAGUUGACACAAAAUUAACCAUCACAGCUGCCUUCCUCUGGGCCUCAUGUUAUAUGAGAACAGUAUUGGUGCAGGUUCUUCAGCUUUGCUGGAGUACGUAUCGACUUUGCUGGGAGCAUGACUUUGUGCAAGGCAUAAAGGUUAUACCUCUGCAGCUCUUCUACUUUGUCUCUGCCAUCUCUGACCACUCAACUCAGGUGUACACUUAAAGCGUUCUGGGAAUAUGAAUCCCUUCUGCACCCUGGAAUCACCAGUCCAGCCAUGCAUGGAGCUGGGGAAAGCAGGCCCUGAAUUGUCUAGAGAGACUUGGUGGAGGAGGCCACGGCCCGCCUUGUCCCUGCCGGGUCCCAGCCAGGAUCUGAACGUCUAUGACACUCUUUCGAGCUGACACAGUGAAGAACAUGGAAGGAGAACUCACCCAGUCUGCCAGGGUCACAGAUGAUCAUACUCAAGAUCUUCCUGGGGAGUCAAUGGCAAAUUUCACUGGGCUAUUUUACAGAUGAAGAAGGAACAUAAAGAAGGUUCUGGGACCCU